CAGCACCUCAAGUGGUCAGGAUGAUUAUUGGGCCUAAAGCAUCCGUAGCCGGCGCUGUAAGUUUUCGGUUAAAUCUGUACGCUCAACGUACAGGCUGCCGGGAAUACUGCAGCGCUAGGGAGUGGGAGAGGUAGACGGUACUCGGUAGGAAGGGGUAAAAUCCUUUGAUCUAUUGAUGACCACCUGUGGCGAAGGCGGUCUACCAGAACACGUCCGACGGUGAGGCACGAAAGCGUGGGUAGCGAACAGGAUUAGAUACCCUGGUAGUCC
RNAcentral lists this ribosomal RNA (270 nucleotides) under uncultured archaeon. RNAcentral's name for it is "partial 16S ribosomal RNA". It matches the Rfam family "Archaeal small subunit ribosomal RNA", at positions 477 to 747 of the family's 1478-position model. The record is from RNAcentral.